This 261-nucleotide unclassified non-coding RNA is filed under the name Trichoderma brevicompactum. RNAcentral describes it as "partial contains 5.8S ribosomal RNA, internal transcribed spacer 2, and large subunit ribosomal RNA". The record is from RNAcentral. Lineage: Eukaryota; Fungi; Ascomycota; Sordariomycetes; Hypocreales; Hypocreaceae.
CGCACAUUGCGCCCGCCAGUAUUCUGGCGGGCAUGCCUGUCCGAGCGUCAUUUCAACCCUCGAGCCCCCCCGGGGGCCCGGCGUUGGGGAUCGGCACUUAACCUGCCGGCCCCGAAAUACAGUGGCGGUCCCGCCGCAGCCUCCCCUGCGCAGUAGUUUGCACAACUCGCACCGGGAGCGCGGCGCGUCCACGGCCGUAAAACACCCCAAACUUCUGAAAUUGUUGGCCUCGGAUCAGGUAGGAAUACCCGCUGAACUUGA